Molecule: ribosomal RNA, 501 nt
Filed under: uncultured bacterium
Lineage: Bacteria
Description: bacterial SSU rRNA
Rfam family: Bacterial small subunit ribosomal RNA
Source: RNAcentral
AUUGAACGCUGGCGGCAUGCCUUACACAUGCAAGUCGAACGGCAGCACGGGAGCAAUCCUGGUGGCGAGUGGCGAACGGGUGAGUAACAUAUCGGAACGUGCCCGGUAGUGGGGGAUAACCCGGCGAAAGUCGGACUAAUACCGCAUACGACCUACGGGUGAAAGCGGGGGAUCGCAAGACCUCGCGCUAUUGGAGCGGCCGAUAUCAGAUUAGCUAGUUGGUGGGGUAAAGGCCUACCAAGGCGACGAUCUGUAGCUGGUCUGAGAGGACGACCAGCCACACUGGGACUGAGACACGGCCCAGACUCCUACGGGAGGCAGCAGUGGGGAAUAUUGGACAAUGGGGGCAACCCUGAUCCAGCCAUGCCGCGUGUGUGAAGAAGGCCUGCGGGUUGUAAAGCACUUUCAGUGGGAAGAACAGAUUCGGGUCAAUACCCCGGAGCCCUGACGUUACCCACAGAAGAAGCACCGGCUAACUCCGUGCCAGCAGCCGCGGUAAAG